ACUACAUGUACAGGAUAGGUGGGAGGCUUUGAAACCAGGACGCCAGUUUUGGCGGAGCCAUCCUUGGGAUACCACCCUUGUAGUACUGGGACUCUAACCAUAGGCCAUGAAUCUGGUCUUGGGACACUGUCAGGUGGGCAGUUUGACUGGGGCGGUCGCCUCCCAAAAGGUAACGGAGGCGCCCAAAGGUUCUCUCAGUACGGUCGGAAAUCGUACGUAGAGUGUAAAGGCAAAAGAGAGCUUGAUUGCAAGACAUACAGGUCGAGCAAGGAUGAAAAUCGGACUUAGUGAUCCGGUGGUUCUGCGGGGAAG
This 312-nucleotide ribosomal RNA is filed under the name Clostridioides difficile. Its description in RNAcentral is "bacterial LSU rRNA". It matches the Rfam family "Bacterial large subunit ribosomal RNA", at positions 2129 to 2439 of the family's 2925-position model. Lineage: Bacteria; Bacillati; Bacillota; Clostridia; Peptostreptococcales; Peptostreptococcaceae. The record is from RNAcentral.